This is a non-coding RNA of Ciona intestinalis (vase tunicate), 784 nucleotides long. The record is from RefSeq and is a predicted model, not a curated record. Lineage: Eukaryota; Metazoa; Chordata; Ascidiacea; Phlebobranchia; Cionidae.
UAUUUCCACUGCGACAUACACAAUCUGAACUAUGCUUUUUCUAAUUAUUUCACCGUUUUAUUAAAGUUAACGUAACAACUGACGUCACCACCGACGUCAUCACACACAUGACGUCAAUGCCGAUAACAAGCAAAUACGGAGGGACGACGCCGCCUUAUUUCGUGAUCGGUAUAGUGUUGGGAAUGGCGGCCGCAGUGAUAUUAUUGAUAAUUUGUAUAAAGCUAAGGUAGGUAACAAGGGUUACGUGUCUUGUUUCGUACCCUCCUGCUAUCUUACGAAUUACCAUGUAUGUAACUUAUUUAUCCUCGCAUGGCGGAGCAACGCCAGUCGUUAUAACAGGGGUGUUCUGUUUCAUGCACCUCCAACCAGCUUACGAGUUACCACGUAUGUGACUACUUUGUGGGUGGAUAAAAUGUAUGACUGACAAUUUGGACAACCUACUAGUUUCCACUGGGGUUGGGGCAAUUGUCGUUAAUUUUUUGCCCAGGGGCCGAAAAGUGACGACCCUAACAACUGUUGUGCCACAUUUUUAGAAGAUAUAACAUGUAUGCAAAAAUAGCGUAAAAAUAUUCAAACGUUUUUUUAGGAAAAAGAACAGCGGGAAAGAUUCAAGCACAUUAGAUGUCACUCAAGAGCCGGACUACCAAGGCACUAGUUCAGAUCAAAAUCCGGGACAGCAAGAAGUCAUAUACAGUAGUAUAGGUGAAGCAACAAACGAUCAAAAUGACGUCACAAUCAAUCAGGAUGACGUGUACAGCGUGCCUCGUGGUGGGAAACGUGAAAA